GCUCACGUAGCUCAGUCGGUAGAGCACUUCCUUGGUAAGGAAGAGGUCGAUGGUUCGAUUCCAUUCGUGAGCA
RNAcentral lists this transfer RNA (73 nucleotides) under Dokdonella immobilis. Its description in RNAcentral is "Dokdonella sp. LM 2-5 tRNA". It matches the Rfam family "tRNA". From Rfam's summary of the family: Transfer RNA (tRNA) molecules are approximately 80 nucleotides in length. Their secondary structure includes four short double-helical elements and three loops (D, anti-codon, and T loops). Further hydrogen bonds mediate the characteristic L-shaped molecular structure. tRNAs have two regions of fundamental functional importance: the anti-codon, which is responsible for specific mRNA codon recognition, and the 3' end, to which the tRNAs corresponding amino acid is attached (by aminoacyl-tRNA synthetases). tRNAs cope with the degeneracy of the genetic code in two manners: having more than one tRNA (with a specific anti-codon) for a particular amino acid; and 'wobble' base-pairing, i.e. permitting non-standard base-pairing at the 3rd anti-codon position. RNAcentral also lists the same sequence under 2 other names. The record is from Rfam by way of RNAcentral. Lineage: Bacteria; Pseudomonadati; Pseudomonadota; Gammaproteobacteria; Lysobacterales; Rhodanobacteraceae.